GUUGAACGCUGGCGGCGUGCCUAAUACAUGCAAGUCGAGCGAACAAACGAGGCUCUUUCUCCUCUGACGUUAGCGGCGGGCGGGUGAUUCACACGUGUCUGACCUACCUCUAGGGCUGACAUAAGUUCGGGAACCCGGAUCUAAUACCCGACAAUAUAUUGAACCUCGUGGUUCAUUAGUUAAAGACGGUUCUGCUGUCACUUAGAGAUGUUUCCUCGCCGCAUGAGCUAGUUGGUAAGGUAACGACUUACCAAGGCAACGAUGCGUAGCCGACCUGAGAGGAUGAUCGGCCACACUGGAACUGAGACACGGUCCAGACUCCUACGGGAGGCAGCAGUAGGGAAUAUUCGGCAAUGGGCGAAAGCCUGACGCAGCAACGCCGCGUGAGUGAAGAAGGUCUUCGGAUCGUAAAACUCUGUUAUUAGGGAAGAACAAAUGUGUAAGUAAAUAUGGACGUCUUGACGGUACCAACACAGAAAGCCCCGGCUAACUACGUG
Molecule: ribosomal RNA, 497 nt
Filed under: uncultured bacterium
Lineage: Bacteria
Description: partial 16S ribosomal RNA
Rfam family: Bacterial small subunit ribosomal RNA
Source: RNAcentral